CGGCUGCUCAGUAACACGUAGUCAACUUACCCUAUGGACGAGGAUAAUCUCGGGAAACUGAGCAUAAUACUCGAUAGAUCAUAAUGCCUGGAAUGGUUUAUGGUUGAAAUGAUUCGUCGCCAUAGGAUGGGACUGCGGCCUAUCAGCUUGUUGGUGAGGUAAUGGCCCACCAAGGCGAUUACAGGUACGGGCUCUGAGAGGAGAAGCCCGGAGAUGGGUACUGAGACAAGGACCCAGGCCCUAUGGGGCGCAGCAGGCGAGAAAACUUUGCAAUGUGCGAAAGCACGACAAGGUUAAUCCGAGUGAUUUCUGCUAAAGAAAUCUUUUGCAAGUCAUAAAACCACUAGUGAAUAAGGGGUGGGCAAGUUCUGGUGUCAGCCGCCGCGGUAAAACCAGCACCUCAAGUGGUCAGGAGGAUUAUUGGGCCUAAAGCAUCCGUAGCCGGCUCUGUAAGUUUUCGGUUAAAUCCAUGUGCUCAACGCAUGGGCUGCCGAAAAUACUGCAUAGCUAGGGAGUGGGAGAGGUAGACGGUACUCGGUAGGAAGGGGUAAAAUCCUUUGAUCUAUCGAUGACCACCUGUGGCGAAGGCGGUCUACCAGAACACGUUUGACGGUGAGGGAUGAAAGCUGGGGGAGCAAACCGGAUUAGAUACCCGGGUAGUCCCAGCUGUAAACGAUGCAGACUCGAUGAUGCAUUGGCAUAUAGCCAGUGCAGUGUCGCAGGGAAGCCGUUAAGUCUGCCGCCUGGGAAGUACGUACGCAAGUAUGAAACUUAAAGGAAUUGGCGGGGGAGCAG
Molecule: ribosomal RNA, 795 nt
Filed under: uncultured marine thaumarchaeote
Lineage: Archaea; Thermoproteati; Nitrososphaerota
Description: bacterial SSU rRNA
Rfam family: Archaeal small subunit ribosomal RNA
Source: RNAcentral